This 270-nucleotide long non-coding RNA is filed under the name Lathyrus oleraceus (garden pea). RNAcentral describes it as "Pisum sativum (pea) long non-coding RNA (PSAT_LNC012047)". Lineage: Eukaryota; Viridiplantae; Streptophyta; Magnoliopsida; Fabales; Fabaceae. The record is from RNAcentral.
ACAUAUCUAAGAGGUAAUCAUACAGUAACAUAACAGACAGGUUAUGUACUCUCCCUAUCACACAUAAUCAAGACUCCCCCUCAAGGGAUCAUCCAAAGCAAAAAUGACCUAUACAAGUUCACACAUCAGGGGCAUAUGUAGAAGAAGAAAAAAAAACUUCACACAACAACAAUUCCUCAAACAAAUUGAUGUCAUGGCAUCAUGCAUGACAUCACUUCACAGCAGCCCAAAAGUUCCAGAACAGGAACUACUCCUUAAACACACUCAAAC